Molecule: long non-coding RNA, 395 nt
Organism: Vidua macroura (Pin-tailed whydah)
Lineage: Eukaryota; Metazoa; Chordata; Aves; Passeriformes; Viduidae
Exons: 2
Source: RefSeq, a predicted model, not a curated record
CAUUAGGCAUUUAUUGCACAUUCUCUUCACCUUUCUGUGGGGUUAAGAAAACUUGUUGAAAGAAGAGGACAUUUUCUUCUGUUCUUUAUAUGGUUACCCAAAAUCUAGCAGGGAAUGAAGCCUAAGUAGUAUGGGAGUGAGUGGAAAUCUGAUGCAGUUUACCAACCUGCAGUGUCCUAAAUGUGUUGGAGCAGUUGGGGAAAACAGUCCCAAAGCAGGUGGACUUUGUGGAAUUUGGGAUGUUCAUGUCCUGUUCAGGUCUCCUGGCCUGUCCCUGGGUAAGUCACUGUGUGCAUCUGUGGUCAUCUGAUAAUCUGCUCUUCUUUCACACCAGGAGAGGGGAGGAGACCACUGGAAUGUGUUAAAUAAAAAUUUAAGCAGUCCAAUGUUCAGAA